Molecule: ribosomal RNA, 492 nt
Filed under: uncultured bacterium
Lineage: Bacteria
Description: partial 16S ribosomal RNA
Rfam family: Bacterial small subunit ribosomal RNA
Source: RNAcentral
AGUGAACGCUGGCGGUAGGCCUAACACAUGCCAGUCGAACGGCAGCACAGUAAGAGCUUGCUCUUACGGGUGGCGAGUGGCGGACGGGUGAGGAAUACAUCGGAAUCUACUUUUUCGUGGGGGAUAACGUAGGGAAACUUACGCUAAUACCGCAUACGACCUACGGGUGAAAGCAGGGGAUCUUCGGACCUUGCGCGAUUGAAUGAGCCGAUGUCGGAUUAGCUAGUUGGCGGGGUAAAGGCCCACCAAGGCGACGAUCCGUAGCUGGUCUGAGAGGAAGAUCAGCCACACUGGAACUGAGACACGGUCCAGACUCCUACGGGAGGCAGCAGUGGGGAAUAUUGGACAAUGGGCGCAAGCCUGAUCCAGCCAUACCGCGUGGGUGAAGAAGGCCUUCGGGUUGUAAAGCCCUUUUGUUGGGAAAGAAAAGCAGCAGGUUAAUACCCCGCUGUUCUGACGGUACCCAAAGAAUAAGCACCGGCUAACUUCGUG